RNAcentral lists this unclassified non-coding RNA (305 nucleotides) under plant metagenome. RNAcentral's name for it is "partial contains 5.8S ribosomal RNA, internal transcribed spacer 2, and large subunit ribosomal RNA". The stretch from base 1 to 105 matches the Rfam family "5.8S ribosomal RNA", at positions 50 to 154 of the family's 154-position model. The record is from RNAcentral.
GAAAUGCGAUAAGUAAUGUGUAUUGCAGAAUUCAGUGAAUCAUCGAAUCUUUGAACGCACAUUGCGCCCGCCAGUACUCUGGCGGGCAUGCCUGUUCGAGCGUCAUUUCAACCAUCAAGCCCCCGGCUUGUGUUGGGGACCUGCGGCUGCCCGCAGGCCCUGAAAAACAGUGGCGGGCUCGCUGUCACACCGAGCGUAGUAGCAUACAUUCUCGCUCAGGGCGUGCUGCGGGUUCCGGCCGUUAAACGACCUUCAUAACCCAAGGUUGACCUCGGAUCAGGUAGGAAGACCCGCUGAACUUAAGC